AACGAACGCUGGCGGCAGGCCUAACACAUGCAAGUCGAGCGCCCUUUCGGUGGCGCGGCGGACGGGUGAGUAACGCGUGGGAAUAUGCCCUUCUCUACGGAAUAGCCUCGGGACACUGAGAGUAAUACCGUAUACGCCCUGUGGGGGAAAGUUUUAUCGGGGAAGGAUUAGCCCGCGUUGGAUUAGGUAGUUGGUGGGGUAAUGGCCUACCAAGCCGACGAUCCAUAGCUGGUUUGAGAGGAUGAUCAGCCACACUGGGACUGAGACACGGCCCAGACUCCUACGGGAGGCAGCAGAGGGGAAUCUUAGACAAUGGGGGCAACCCUGAUGGAGCCAGGCCGGGUGAGUGAUGAAGGCCGUAGGGUAGUAAAGCUCUUUCAGCUGGGAAGAUAAUGACGGUACCAGCAGAAGAAGCCCCGGCUAACUCCGUG
Molecule: ribosomal RNA, 431 nt
Filed under: uncultured bacterium
Lineage: Bacteria
Description: partial 16S ribosomal RNA
Rfam family: Bacterial small subunit ribosomal RNA
Source: RNAcentral